This 253-nucleotide ribosomal RNA is filed under the name uncultured bacterium. RNAcentral's name for it is "partial 16S ribosomal RNA". It matches the Rfam family "Bacterial small subunit ribosomal RNA", at positions 524 to 776 of the family's 1533-position model. The record is from RNAcentral.
GACAGAGGUGGCAAGCGUUGUUCGGAUUUAUUGGGUGUAAAGGGCAGGUAGGUUGUUGUGCAAGUCUGGUGUGAAAGCCCACGGCUCAACCGUGGAAUGGCAUUGGAAACUGCAUGACUUGAGUACCGGAGAGGUGAAGGGAAUUCUCGGUGUAAGGGUGAAAUCUGUAGAUAUCGAGAGGAACACCAGUGGCGAAGGCGCUUCACUGGCCGGUUACUGACACUGAGCUGCGAAAGCAAGGGGAGCAAACAGG